This 35-nucleotide non-coding RNA is filed under the name Actinoplanes sp. SE50/110. Lineage: Bacteria; Bacillati; Actinomycetota; Actinomycetes; Micromonosporales; Micromonosporaceae. The record is from RNAcentral.
GAACCAGUGCAACUGCAUAGCGAACACGAGCUGGA